This 373-nucleotide ribosomal RNA is filed under the name uncultured prokaryote. Its description in RNAcentral is "partial 16S ribosomal RNA". The record is from RNAcentral.
CCCUACGGGGUGCAGCAGGCUGAGUUCGUUGCCCAGCGCAUCCUCGAACUGAGGGACGAAGGUGUUCCGCUUCACCAGAUCGCUGUCCUCUACCGCGCCCACUAUCACAGCAUGGAAUUACAGAUGGAGAUGACCCGCCGGGAUAUUCCGUACGAAAUACGGAGCGGGCUGAGGUUUUUCGAACAGGCACACAUCAAGGACGUCGUCUCCUUUUUACGGGUCAUGGUCAACCCCGAAGACGAACUGUCGUGGCUCAGAAUGUUCGCCUUGUUUCCGAGGGUCGGGAAAAAAACUGCCGAACGUAUCCUCACCGUGAUGAAGACAUCGGAACAGCCUGUCGACAUGCUUGUAUCAAAGGAAUUGGCGGGGGGGC